GGCUGGGUCGGGCCGGGCAGUCUGGGACGCGCCGCCGCCAUGAUCAUCCCUGUACGCUGCUUCACUUGUGGCAAGAUCGUCGGCAACAAGUGGGAGGCUUACCUGGGGCUCCUGCAGGCCGAGUACACCGAGGGGGAUGCGCUGGACGCCCUGGGCCUGAAGCGUUACUGCUGCCGCCGGAUGCUGCUGGCCCACGUGGACCUGAUCGAGAAGCUGCUCAAUUAUGCACCCCUGGAGAAGUGACCACGCUGGAGCCCACCCACCUGCUGUGCUGACCAUGGGCCCUGAGCGUCCUGCCCCGAAUUCACGAGGCUGAGGCAUCCGGGAGCUGGCGCAAUGCCUGGCCGCAGCGUGUGUGUAUCCCGUCCCCCACUCUGGAAGGAACCAUCCAGUAAAGAUGUUGGAGGCAUGGUCCCGCUGCCCACAACCAGCCACCACCGUCUUGCAGCAGCUGUCAGGGACCACGCGGCCACCAGCCUCCCCUGAGCGGAUCCACUCACUGUCUCGCCAGUCCUGUGAGUUGUUGCUGCCACAGCAGUGGAACUGCAUCAAAAACAAGGCUGGGGGUAAGACCUGGGGCCAGAGGCUCCUGCAGAGGUCCAGGGAGGCCCUGGGGAUGCACGCGCCCUCCCAGCACCACCCACCCACCUCCUGCUGCAGCUGGUCCACGGCGCUGGUCACAGCCUCAUGGCCCGGCUGGUGGUAGCGCUUGGUCAUGGUGUCCCUCAGGUUCUCCUUGAGCUCCGUGUUCAGCUGCGGUUGGGGUGCAGGAAACUUCAGCCUCAGUCUAAGACCUUCCAAGGUGGGGCUGGCAGAGCCCCAGGAUGGCCGGCGGGGAGGCCCAGGGCCCGGCUCAGAGCCACAGGGAAGGGCUGAGGUCAGACCUCGGCGUGAGGGGAGGUUGGGUGGUGCCAGGACCGUCACCAGGGUGACAAUGGAGUGUGGCAGAGGCAGAGAGGGCUUCUGGAUCCCCUGGACACCUGCCUGACCCCAUGUGCCCCUGCAGAGACCUAGACCCCACCUCCAGGGCCCAGUAGCAUGUUGGUCAGCUCUGGGACCAUGGGGGUGGGGGUCGGGGCUAGCCACGCGUGUGCAUCUGUGUGUGUCCGCCCCGCCUGUGCAUGUCUAUCUCUGAAUGGCCUGCCCAGGCCUCUCACCUGCUGGUAGUAGGCGUAGGCGAGGAUACCAGCGAUGAUCUCCAGCAGAAAGAUGAUGAGGAGCAGGAUGAAGUACUGAGGGGGGCACAAGGGCACCCUUGUUCUGAGGCCUAGUGCCUAGGCCUAGUGCACCUCAGAGCAGAGUCCCCACCCCGGCUCCCCAGGUUCCAGGUGGGGGCUGAGGGGCGGCCACCCUCCCUGAAGCUUUCUUGCAGAGCUGGUGUCUUCCCUCAGCUGGUCCAGCGGGAACGUGGGGACCCACAGGACUAGGCAGGUGUGGAAGGACCGUGACCCCCCCAGGUGAGCACAGCAAGGCACAGGUUCAAAGCCUGCAGCGACAACCUCCUUGGGCCCAUCCGCACCACCCCCACCCCGUGGCCCUGUGCCCUCCUGACCAGGCGCAGCAGGUUCCGACGUUCCUUGAAGGUGGCACAGCAGCCCAAGACCCCAGUCACCAUGACGACAGUGCCCGCCACCACCAGGAUGUAGGCUGUGGCCAGGUAGGUGCCCGAGGCCAGCAGGCUGAUGUAGUCACUCUUGAGGGCCAGCGUCCAGAUGCCCACUGCCAUGACAGCCAGGCCGGCCAGCUACAAGCAGUACACAAUGGUCACCGCGUCUGCCCAGGUCUGAUGGUGGCCCGGGAGGGGUGGGGGUGGGGGUGGGGGCAAGGCGACCCCUCCUCACCCAGAAGCAGCAGUUGUAGGUAAAGAGCAGGUACUUGAGGCAAA
Pongo pygmaeus (Bornean orangutan) is the source of this 1885-nucleotide RNA transcript. It is a transcript of the gene named RNA polymerase II, I and III subunit L, with no coding region annotated. Lineage: Eukaryota; Metazoa; Chordata; Mammalia; Primates; Hominidae. The transcript has 3 exons. The record is from RefSeq and is a predicted model, not a curated record.